GUAGGUGGCGAGCGUUGUCCGGAUUUACUGGGCGUAAAGAGCGCGCAGGCGGUCGGCCAAGUCGAGUGUGAAAGCCCCCGGCUCAACUGGGGAGGGUCACUUGAUACUGGUCGACUCGAAGGCGGGAGAGGGAAGUGGAAUUCCCGGUGUAGUGGUGAAAUGCGUAGAUAUCGGGAGGAACACCAGUGGCGAAGGCGACUUCCUGGCCCGUUCUUGACGCUGAGGCGCGAAAGCUAGGGGAGCAAACGGGAUUAGAUACCCCGGUAGUCCUAGCCGUAAACGAUGGACACUAGGUGUUGGUGGUAUCAACCCCGCCAGUGCCGAAGCUAACGCAUUAAGUGUCCCGCCUGGGGAGUACGGCCGCAAGGCUA
Molecule: ribosomal RNA, 371 nt
Filed under: uncultured bacterium
Lineage: Bacteria
Description: bacterial SSU rRNA
Rfam family: Bacterial small subunit ribosomal RNA
Source: RNAcentral